This 444-nucleotide ribosomal RNA is filed under the name uncultured prokaryote. RNAcentral describes it as "bacterial SSU rRNA". It matches the Rfam family "Bacterial small subunit ribosomal RNA", at positions 355 to 796 of the family's 1533-position model. The record is from RNAcentral.
UGAGGAAUCUUGCGCAAUGGGGGCAACCCUGACGCAGCCACGCCGCGUGCCGGAAGACGGCCCUAUGGGUUGUAAACGGCUUUUACCGGGGAAGAACCCGGGUCUUUCGAGACCCGCUGACGGUACCUGGUGAAUAAGCACCGGCUAACUCCGUGCCAGCAGCCGCGGUAAUACGGAGGGUGCAAGCGUUGUCCGGAAUCAUUGGGUGUAAAGGGUGCGCAGGCGGAAGCUUAAGUCGGGGGUGAAAUCCUGCCGCUCAACGGCAGAAUGGCCUUCGAUACUGGGUUUCUUGAGUCCGGAAGAGGUUGGUGGAAUUGGUGGUGUAGCGGUGAAAUGCAUAGAUAUCACCAAGAACACCGGUGGCGAAGGCGGCCAACUGGUCCGGGACUGACGCUGAGGCACGAGAGCGUGGGGAGCGAACAGGAUUAGAUACCCCGGUAGUCC